RNAcentral lists this ribosomal RNA (500 nucleotides) under uncultured bacterium. RNAcentral's name for it is "partial 16S ribosomal RNA". It matches the Rfam family "Bacterial small subunit ribosomal RNA", at positions 899 to 1397 of the family's 1533-position model. The record is from RNAcentral.
ACUCAAAGGAAUAGACGGGGACCCGCACAAGCGGUGGAGUAUGUGGUUUAAUUCGAAACUACGCGAAGAACCUUACCAGCUCUUGACAUGGUGAUCAUACCCUUCGUAAUGGAAGGGGUCGGUUCGGCCGGAUCACACACAGGUGCUGCAUGGCUGUCGUCAGUUCGUGUCGUGAGAUGUUGGGUUAAGUCCCGCAACGAACGCAACCCUUAUCGUUAGUUGCUAACAUUUUAGGUGAGAACUUUAACGAUACUGCCGGUGAUAAACCGGAGGAAGGUGGGGACGACGUCAAGUCAUCAUGGCCCUUAUGGGCUGGGCUACACACGUACUACAAUGGUGGUUACAGAAGGCAGCGAAGGGGCAACCUGGAGCGAAUCCCAAAAAGCCACCUCAGUUCGGAUUGUUCUCUGCAACUCGAGAGCAUGAAGUCGGAAUCGCUAGUAAUCGCAGAUCAGCGUGCUGCGGUGAAUACGUUCCCGGGUCUUGCACACACCGCCCGU